GACGAACGCUGGCGGCGUGCUUAACACAUGCAAGUCGAACGAUGAACCCGGAGCUUGCUCUGGGGGAUUAGUGGCGAACGGGUGAGUAACACGUGAGUAACCUGCCCUGGACUCUGGGAUAAGCGUUGGAAACGACGUCUAAUACCGGAUAGGACCUUGGAUCGCAUGAUCUGGGGUGGAAAGUUUUUCCGGUCUGGGAUGGACUCGCGGCCUAUCAGCUUGUUGGUGAGGUAAUGGCUCACCAAGGCGUCGACGGGUAGCCGGCCUGAGAGGGUGACCGGCCACACUGGGACUGAGACACGGCCCAGACUCCUACGGGAGGCAGCAGUGGGGAAUAUUGCACAAUGGGCGAAAGCCUGAUGCAGCAACGCCGCGUGCGGGAUGACGGCCUUCGGGUUGUAAACCGCUUUUAGUAGGGAAGAAGGGCUUCGGCUUGACGGUACCUGCAGAAAAAGGACCGGCUAACUACGUG
This 472-nucleotide ribosomal RNA is filed under the name uncultured bacterium. RNAcentral describes it as "partial 16S ribosomal RNA". It matches the Rfam family "Bacterial small subunit ribosomal RNA", at positions 28 to 507 of the family's 1533-position model. The record is from RNAcentral.